Molecule: ribosomal RNA, 473 nt
Filed under: uncultured bacterium
Lineage: Bacteria
Description: bacterial SSU rRNA
Rfam family: Bacterial small subunit ribosomal RNA
Source: RNAcentral
UGGGGAAUAUUGCGCAAUGGGCGAAAGCCUGACGCAGCAACGCCGCGUGAGUGAUGAAGGCCUUCGGGUCGUAAAGCUCUGUCGGAGGGAACGAAUGCUCCUGAAGUUAACAGCCUCAGGAGGUGACGGUACCCUCAAAGGAAGCACCGGCUAACUCUGUGCCAGCAGCCGCGGUAAUACAGAGGGUGCAAGCGUUGUUCGGAAUUACUGGGCGUAAAGCGCACGUAGGCGGAUUUGUAAGUCAGGGGUGAAAUCCCGGGGCUCAACCUCGGAACUGCCUUUGAUACUGCGAAUCUCGAGUCCGAUAGAGGUGAGUGGAAUUCCUAGUGUAGAGGUGAAAUUCGUAGAUAUUAGGAAGAACACCAGUGGCGAAGGCGGCUCACUGGAUCGGUACUGACGCUGAGGUGCGAAAGCGUGGGGAGCAAACAGGAUUAGAUACCCCCGUAGUCCCUGAGCGGGCUGGCAAGGCGCAU